CAUUAAGUAGCUAAAAAGUUACAUAAAGCAUUGGUCUCUUAAACCAUACAUUAGUAUUUAACAAAUACUCUUAAUGA
This 77-nucleotide transfer RNA is filed under the name Arocatus melanocephalus. RNAcentral's name for it is "tRNA-Lys". The record is from RNAcentral. Lineage: Eukaryota; Metazoa; Arthropoda; Insecta; Hemiptera; Lygaeidae.